RNA transcript from Carlito syrichta (Philippine tarsier), 577 nucleotides. It is a transcript of the gene named dynactin subunit 6-like, with no coding region annotated. The record is from RefSeq and is a predicted model, not a curated record. The transcript is spliced from 2 exons. Lineage: Eukaryota; Metazoa; Chordata; Mammalia; Primates; Tarsiidae.
GUACCAUGGCGAAGAAGACUCAAAAGAGUGUGAAGAUUGCUCCUGGAGUAGUUGUAUGUGUAGAAAGUGAAAUCAGAGGAGAUGUUACUAUCAGACCUAGGACAGUGAUCCACCCUAAAGCACGAAUUAUUGCGGAAGCCGGACCAAUCGUGAUUGGUGAAGGUAACCUGAUAGAAGAGCAGGCCCUUAUCAUAAAUGCUCAUCCAGAUAAUAUCACUCCUGACACUGAAGAGCCUGAACCCAAACCUAUGAUCAUUGGCACCAAUAAUGUGUUUGAAGUCGGCUGUUAUUCCCAAGUCAUGAAAAUGGGAGAUAAUAAUGUUAUUGAAUCAAAAGCAUAUGUAGGCAGAAAUGUAAUACUGACAAGUGGCUACAUCAUUGGGGCUUGUUGCAACCUCAAUACUUUUGAAGUCAUCCCUGCACCAUAUAUCACUGUCUUCGCCGACUGCCUUCGCCGGGUGCAGACUGAGCGACCACAGCCCCAGACACUACAGCUGGAUCUCUUGAUGAAAAUCUUGCCAAAUUAUCACCACCUAAAGAAGACUGUGAAAAGAAAUCAACUCCAGUUAAGAAUUAA